RNAcentral lists this ribosomal RNA (465 nucleotides) under uncultured bacterium. Its description in RNAcentral is "partial 16S ribosomal RNA". It matches the Rfam family "Bacterial small subunit ribosomal RNA", at positions 28 to 507 of the family's 1533-position model. The record is from RNAcentral.
GACGAACGCUGGCGGCGUGCUUAACACAUGCAAGUCGAACGGAAAGGCCCUGCUUGCAGGGUACUCGAGUGGCGAACGGGUGAGUAACACGUGGGUGAUCUGCCCUGCACUUCGGGAUAAGCUUGGGAAACUGGGUCUAAUACCGGAUAGGAGCCAUCUUUAGUGUGGUGGUUGGAAAGUUUUUUCGGUGUAGGAUGAGCUCGCGGCCUAUCAGCUUGUUGGUGGGGUAAUGGCCUACCAAGGCGGCGACGGGUAGCCGGCCUGAGAGGGUGUACGGCCACAUUGGGACUGAGAUACGGCCCAGACUCCUACGGGAGGCAGCAGUGGGGAAUAUUGCACAAUGGGCGCAAGCCGGAUGCAGCGACGCCGCGGGGGGGAUGAAGGCCUUCGGGUUGUAAACUCCUUUCGCUAGGGACGAAGCUUUUUGUGACGGUACCUAGAUAAGAAGCACCGGCUAACUACGUG